This 798-nucleotide small RNA is filed under the name Pan troglodytes (chimpanzee). RNAcentral's name for it is "retained intron". The record is from RNAcentral. Lineage: Eukaryota; Metazoa; Chordata; Mammalia; Primates; Hominidae.
CGGACGAGGGAGGGAGCAGGGCCCUGGGGAGCCCCUGACCACUCCACCAGGUCCCACCUUUUUCCCAAGGACGUCUUUCUGAUCUGCUUCUCCCUGGUGAGCCCGGCCUCCUUCGAGAACGUUCGUGCCAAGUGGUACCCGGAGGUGCGGCACCACUGCCCCCACACGCCCAUCCUCCUGGUGGGCACCAAGCUGGACCUCCGCGACGACAAGGACACCAUUGAGCGGCUGCGGGACAAGAAGCUGGCGCCCAUCACCUACCCACAGGGCCUGGCCAUGGCCCGGGAGAUCGGCUCUGUGAAAUACCUGGAGUGCUCAGCCCUGACCCAGCGGGGCCUGAAGACAGUGUUUGACGAGGCAAUCCGCGCGGUGCUCUGCCCGCCCCCAGUGAAGAAGCCGGGGAAGAAGUGCACCGUCUUCUAGAGCCCUGGCCCACCCGAGCCUGAGGGCUGGCAGGGAGCAGCCCUGGACGUGUCCGCUGUUGUGUUGAGGCGUGUGGUGUCCCUGAGUCAGCUGUGGGGAGCGGUGGGGGUGGGCAGGGGGGAAGCAUGGGGAUGAGGCUGGGUGGCAGGAUCCUGUCCUCUCUGCCGCCUCAUUCUGGGGUGUGGCUCCAGCCUUCCCUGGCCCCCGCCGGAGGCCGGGAGGGAGCAGGGUCUCCCUCAGGGCUGCAGGGGCAGGUGCAGGGAAGCCCCAGGAUGGGCUUCCCUGGAGGGGGAGGGUGGGGGGGAGUUCUGUUCCUUGUGCCUCGAGGUGGGGCAGCCCCUUCUUAUUUUAUACAAUAAACAUUCUCCACCUACA